Molecule: non-coding RNA, 49 nt
Organism: Trichobilharzia regenti
Lineage: Eukaryota; Metazoa; Platyhelminthes; Trematoda; Strigeidida; Schistosomatidae
Source: Rfam
AUCUAACUGAUGAGUUCCAAAUAAGACGAAAUGUGCAUCCUAGCUGGAU